RNAcentral lists this unclassified non-coding RNA (285 nucleotides) under uncultured fungus. RNAcentral's name for it is "partial contains small subunit ribosomal RNA, internal transcribed spacer 1, and 5.8S ribosomal RNA". The stretch from base 1 to 73 matches the Rfam family "Eukaryotic small subunit ribosomal RNA", at positions 1759 to 1831 of the family's 1831-position model. The record is from RNAcentral. Lineage: Eukaryota; Fungi.
GCAAACUUGGUCAUUUAGAGGAAGUAAAAGUCGUAACAAGGUCUCCGUAGGUGAACCUGCGGAGGGAUCAUUACCGAGUUCAUGCCCCUCGUGGGGUAGAUCUCCCACCCUGUGUGAUUACUACUUUGUUGCUUUGGCGGGCCGCCUUCGGGCUGCCGGCUCGCGCUGGUGAGCGCCCGCCAGAGGAUUUCAACUCUGUUAUUAGUGUUGUCUGAGUCCUAAAUUAUAAUCAUUAAAACUUUCAACAACGGAUCUCUUGGUUCUGGCAUCGAUGAAGAACGCAGC